GACGAACGCUGGCGGCGUGCUUAACACAUGCAAGUCGAACGGAAAGGCCCUGCUUUUGCGGGGUGCUCGAGUGGCGAACGGGUGUGUAACACGUGAGUAACCUGCCCCUGACUGUGGGAUAACUUCAGGAAACAGGGGCUAAUACCGGAUAGGAGCUCCUGCUGCAUGGUGGGGGUUGGAAAGAUUCGGCGGUUGGGGCUGGACUCGCGGCUUACCAGCUUGUUGGUGGGGUAGUGGCUUACCAAGGCUUUGACGGGUAGCCGGCCUGAGAGGGUGACCGGCCACAUUGGGCCUGCGAUACGGCCCAGACUCCUACGGGCGGCAGCAGUGGGGAAUAUUGCACAAUGGGCGGAAGCCUGAUGCAGCAACGCCGCGUGCGGGAUGACGGCCUUCGGGUUGUAAACCGCUUUCGCCUGUGACGAAGCGUGAGUGACGGUAAUGGGUAAGGAAGCACCGGCUAACUACGUG
RNAcentral lists this ribosomal RNA (468 nucleotides) under uncultured bacterium. RNAcentral's name for it is "partial 16S ribosomal RNA". It matches the Rfam family "Bacterial small subunit ribosomal RNA", at positions 28 to 507 of the family's 1533-position model. The record is from RNAcentral.